Bos taurus (domestic cattle) is the source of this 881-nucleotide long non-coding RNA. The record is from Ensembl. Lineage: Eukaryota; Metazoa; Chordata; Mammalia; Artiodactyla; Bovidae.
CGGGAUUCUCGAGUUACGACGGGGAAUUCAGGAUGCCUCUUGUGUUGGCCCAGGGAAGUCCAAUCUUCCAUUCGAGUUGCGAAGGAAAGCUGGGGAUUGCUCUCGAGUGACUGCAGGGCCAAUAGACCUCAUCUAGGCUUGUGUCCAGAAGCCAAUGUUCCUCUCCAGGGGCGAAAGGGAUCUCGGGGUUGCAUUCCAGACGCACCCGGGGAGACAGGCAUCCAUCUCGAGUGGAAGCAAAGAACCCCGCUCUGCUCUCGAGUCGCGACGGGUAUCUCUUGGAGCUCACUGGGUGGACUAAAGGGAGUCAAGCCUCCUGAGGCGUUUGGAGAGAGGUCGCGAGAUUGGUCUCUAGGCCAUGCAGGAGACGAAGGCCCUCAUCUCGCGAUGACGGGGGAGUCUUGGGGUUGUUCUCGAGCGGCGGCCCCAGUGUGCGCUUUCUCACGAGGUACGACGGCGAGGUCAGUGAGCCUCUCGUGGGGCGCCAGGGAAGUCGGGUCUCCAUGCGAGUGGCGAGGGCGAGCGCCUCAUUGCUCUCGAGCCAUGGUAGGGUGCCGGGGACCAGCCCCGGCUGAUCCAGGGUAUUCGAAGGAGAGACGGCGUAGGCGAAGAUCAGGAAACCACUGCUUAAUUAAAUGUUAAUUAAGGAUAUAAAGAGUAAUAGAAUGAGGAUAGCUCAGUGAGGAAAUUCAGUGGAGAAAAGAGGCUGAAUAAUUCAGCCAGAAGGUAAGAGAAAGAACGACAUGGUGAGACCAAGUUUCGGUGAACAAGGCCCGCACUUUAUUUUUCAAAGUAGUUUUUAUACCUUAAGUUAUGCAUAGAGGAUAAUGGGGGAAGGGGUCGAGUCUUGCAGCAAACCAGGCUUUCUUCCUGCAAACUUA